UUUUGUCGGCUGUUCUUUCUCGUUAGUUUGCUAUUUUAACUAUUAUAUCAAUUAGUUUCAGCAUUUGACGUCUGCCAGCUUCAAGUCAUCGUGGCCUUCUUGUAGUCUGCUUCUUCCUCUGCUGGAAGGAGAGAGGAAAUGGAAAGAAAGUGGGCAACUUCCAAGUUCGCGGCUAACUUUGUGCCGUUGCAAUUCACUGCGCUUGGCUUUCUCAACCAACUCGAUGGGGUUGAAACCAACUAAAGUGCGUGAAGCUAGAAAUGCGAUUCCGGCAAUAACAACAACUCCAAAGGUACAGAGGGGAAAGAGACUGAAGCGCGUCAGGGUUGAAAGGUGUUCCGGGCCUCGUUUUGUUCGCCAACUGAAAUGAGUUUAGACUUGGAGAAAUUUAAAUGUAGUCAAUGGCAGGUGUUACAGUUAAACGCGCGCAAACAUUUUCGUCGCUUGGCAGCACUGGCAGAAAAAAAGCAACAAAAAACCCUUCUGUUGUUUGUUGUUUGCAAUGCAUCGUUGCCAUAUUUUUGUUGGUGAACAAUUUUAAAGAGGUUUAAAAGUUAAUAAAUUAAAAAAAAAUUAACUAAA
Drosophila innubila is the source of this 582-nucleotide long non-coding RNA. RefSeq lists it as uncharacterized. Lineage: Eukaryota; Metazoa; Arthropoda; Insecta; Diptera; Drosophilidae. The record is from RefSeq and is a predicted model, not a curated record. The transcript is spliced from 2 exons.